AUUUCCCGUAGUUGAAUACAACGGCGGUUUUUCAUGUCGCUGGUCCCAGUUUAUUCUGGGCGGGAAUA
This 68-nucleotide transfer RNA is filed under the name Thorius n. sp. RLM-2004. RNAcentral describes it as "tRNA-Glu". Lineage: Eukaryota; Metazoa; Chordata; Amphibia; Caudata; Plethodontidae. The record is from RNAcentral.